GAAUUCUGGAUGCUGAGAAAACCGACUAUUCGAGCUUUCUUCUGCAACCAGGAUUCAA
RNAcentral lists this microRNA precursor (58 nucleotides) under Heligmosomoides polygyrus. Its description in RNAcentral is "microRNA hpo-mir-10118 precursor". The record is from miRBase by way of RNAcentral. Lineage: Eukaryota; Metazoa; Nematoda; Chromadorea; Rhabditida; Heligmosomidae.